GACGGAGGGUGCAAGCGUUGUGCGGAAUUACUGGGCGUAAAGCGCGUGUAGGCGGCUUGCUAAGUCUGAUGUGAAAGCCCGGGGCUCACCCCCGGAAGUGCAUUGGACACUGGCGAGCUCGAGUCCCGGAGAGGAGGGUGGAAUUCCUGGUGUAGCGGUGAAAUGCGUAGAUAUCAGGAGGAACACCGGUGGCGAAGGCGGCCCUCUGGACGGUGACUGGCGAUGAGACGCGAAAGCGUGGGGAGCAAACAGG
Molecule: ribosomal RNA, 253 nt
Filed under: uncultured bacterium
Lineage: Bacteria
Description: partial 16S ribosomal RNA
Rfam family: Bacterial small subunit ribosomal RNA
Source: RNAcentral